UAAUAGAUCACCAAUUUUAGUUAAUAAUUUUAUGCUAUACUCUUGGGUGAGGGAAGACUCGGACACUCAAUAUGAGAUCAGCAAGCUAUGUUUAUUGCAGAGAGUAUCAGACAGUUAUACAGCACAUAAUAAGCUUAUGAAUAUUCUGUAAGCCAAGCGAUCUAUUGGUUAAACUAUACCAUCAACUCUUCCUCAUUCCUUUGGGCCUACAUUCCCUAUUUCCCACGUCUCUCUGUCUACUUGUUAUCCUACCCAGCUAGGCCCAGGCACACGCUAUCUUGCAGGUGCAAAACUCAAAAAUACCUGUGUUCGGUACUUUCCCAGCUCCUGGUCGGCUAACGAGCGAAUGUCUGCGUGACCUCUGUCAUGGAGCCAUUUCUCCACACUAUACUAUCAAAGUUUAAAGGUAAAUUAUUAUAUAUUAGGAGAUGGUGUAAAGUGUAUGUUGUAAUGUGUAGGAUAUAUACAAAGAUACGUACUUGAAAGUCCGUAGAGGAAACAAAUUUUUACGCCUUCUGUUUGACUGUUUGUCAUAUAUUUGGUUUUAUUUCCCAGGGAUCAGUGAAUUUUAACUCUGGAGUCCUCUAUGCUAAGGAUGCUCAGCUUACAGAUGACGAAAUGUUCAGUAAUGGUGAGUUUUUCACCUUCUCCUUCAUUGUUUUGCUCAUCUGAAUAAAAAAAAAAAAGGCAAGAUUAAAGAAAAAGCAAUAGUUUUAUUAUUUUUACCCUGUUAUGUCUGUUUCCUCAGUAUUUGCUGGAGCUGUGCUUACCCAGGGUUUGGGUAAAACAAGCUUUGGGUUCCUUCUGUCUCACUGGGAGUUGCCCAAUUCAGUUGCAUCUGGUGAAAUUCACCCUGAGACCUUACAGAACCAGCUCCAACUACGUGAGAGCCAUUUGCAGUUCUCUCCAGACACCUGGAGAAUGGGCGACGUUUCUGAGGAUCCGGCGAGCGUGCUUCUGUCCAAACUCAGUCUUUGAAAUUCCUGGGGAAAACCCUUCUGUGUCCUGAAGGGUUCAAACUCUGGCGAGGAUCCAGUUAUCAGGGGCUCACCUGGAUGGUUCCAGCUGCCAAAGGGAAAGACUCUCGUAUCCUUGUCGUCGGGCUCGGUGCUGUCCAAGAAGAUACAGAGACUAAAAAAAUCAUAAGAAGCAAAAUAUGACUGCAGGGAAAAGAAGCUGGAGAGAACAGAAGACUCAUCACGGCAGGACAGCGUGAGGACUGAAAGUGUAAGAAGAUGUGGAGGGAAACAGAGAAUCUGACAGGAGCAGCGAACGCACGAGUGCACGAAUUUUGCUUUUUGCUUGGAUG
Long non-coding RNA from Melospiza georgiana, 1309 nucleotides. RefSeq lists it as uncharacterized. The transcript has 3 exons. The record is from RefSeq and is a predicted model, not a curated record. NCBI's taxonomy places the organism in Eukaryota, Metazoa, Chordata, Aves, Passeriformes, Passerellidae.